GAAGUGAUUAGAAACUUGGAAAAGUGAGUUUUUAUGAAAGGGUGAAAAUUUGAAAAGAAACAAGAAAAAGAAAACACCCUUGAAGCCAUAGAGCAAAGAAAAAAAGUAAAGAAAAAAAAAAGAAAAUCAAAGAAAAUGCUCAUGGUUGUGUGGAUGUAAUAAGAAAAAGAAAAAAAAUAGGGAUCAAAGAAAGGGAAAUUGUGUAGAGUUAAA
This 213-nucleotide long non-coding RNA is filed under the name Lathyrus oleraceus (garden pea). RNAcentral describes it as "Pisum sativum (pea) long non-coding RNA (PSAT_LNC037243)". Lineage: Eukaryota; Viridiplantae; Streptophyta; Magnoliopsida; Fabales; Fabaceae. The record is from RNAcentral.